UUUUUAAAGCUAUUAUUUUAAGUAAUAUUUGCUCAAUGUAAUUAUAAAUAGCCGCAGAAUUUUUACUGUGCUAAGGUAGCAUAAUCAUUAGCUCUUUAAUUAAGGGCUGGAAUGAAAGAUUUUACAUUAAAUAACUUUUUUUAAAAAAAUUUAUAAAACUUAUAUUAAAUAUAAAAUAUAUUUAUUCAAAAAAUAGACGACAAGACCCUAUCGAACUUUACUUCUGUUUAGCUGGGGAAGCUAAUUAAACAAUAUUUUAAUAUAAAUCUUUUAUUAAAUGACCAAACAAAAUUUAUUACAUGAUUAAGUUACCGUAGGGAUAACAGCGUAAUUUAUUUUUAAACUCUCAUAAAAAAAAAAGAUUACGACCUCGAUGUUGAAUUAUAUCCCUAAUAAGCGCAAUAGCUUGUAAAGGGGGUCUGUUCGACCCUUAAAUUAUUACA
Molecule: ribosomal RNA, 443 nt
Filed under: Mimetus sp. GH1185
Lineage: Eukaryota; Metazoa; Arthropoda; Arachnida; Araneae; Mimetidae
Description: partial 16S ribosomal RNA
Source: RNAcentral